This 337-nucleotide ribosomal RNA is filed under the name uncultured bacterium. RNAcentral's name for it is "bacterial SSU rRNA". It matches the Rfam family "Bacterial small subunit ribosomal RNA", at positions 8 to 334 of the family's 1533-position model. The record is from RNAcentral.
AGGGUUCGAUUCUGGCUCAGGAUGAACGCUAGCGACAGGCCUAACACAUGCAAGUCGAGGGGCAGCGAAGAGGUAGCAAUACCUUUGUCGGCGACCGGCGCACGGGUGAGUAACACGUAUGCAAUCCACCUGUAACAGGGGGAUAACCCGGAGAAAUCCGGACUAAUACCCCAUAAUAUGGGCGCUCCGCAUGGAGAGCCCAUUAAAGAGAGCAAUUUUGGUUACAGACGAGCAUGCGCUCCAUUAGCCAGUUGGCGGGGUAACGGCCCACCAAAGCGACGAUGGAUAGGGGUUCUGAGAGGAAGGUCCCCCACAUUGGAACUGAGACACGGUCCAA